This 466-nucleotide ribosomal RNA is filed under the name uncultured bacterium. Its description in RNAcentral is "partial 16S ribosomal RNA". It matches the Rfam family "Bacterial small subunit ribosomal RNA", at positions 29 to 507 of the family's 1533-position model. The record is from RNAcentral.
ACGAACGCUGGCGGCGGGCUUAACACAUGCAAGUCGAACGGAAAGGCCCUGCUUUUGUGGGGUGCUCGAGUGGCGAACGGGUGAGUAACACGUGAGUUACCUGCCCUUGACUUUUGGAUUACUUCAGGAAACUGGGGCUAAUACCGGAUAGGAGCUCCUGCUGCAUGGUGGGGUUUGAAAGUUUCGGCGGUUGGGGAUGGACUCGCGGCUUAUCAGCUUGUUGGUGGGGGAGUGGCUUACCAAGGCUUUGACGGGGAGCCGGCCUGAGAGGGUGACCGGCCACAUUGGGACUGAGAUACGGCCCAGACUCCUACGGGAGGCAGCAGUGGGGAAUAUUGCACAAUGGGCGGAAGCCUGAUGCAGCAACGCCGCGUGCGGGAUGACGGCCUUCGGGUUGUAAACCGCUUUCGCCUGUGACGAAGCGUGAGUGACGGUAAUGGGUAAAGAAGCACCGGCUAACUACGUG